GACGAACACUGGCGGCGUGCUUAACACAUGCAAGUCGAACGGUGAAGCGCCUUCCUUUUUGGUGGGUGUGGAUGAGUGGCGAACGGGUGAGUAACACGUGAGUAACCUGCCCCCUUCUUCUGGAUAACCGCAUGAAAGUGUGGCUAAUACGGGAUAUUCUGGGUCUGUCGCAUGAUGGGUCUGGGAAAGAUAUUGUUUCGGUGGGGGAUGGGCUCGCGGCCUAUCAGCUUGUUGGUGGGGUGAUGGCCUACCAAGGCGGUGACGGGUAGCCGGCCUGAGAGGGUGGACGGUCACACUGGGACUGAGACACGGCCCAGACUCCUACGGGAGGCAGCAGUGGGGAAUAUUGCACAAUGGGCGCAAGCCUGAUGCAGCGACGCCGCGUGAGGGAUGGAGGCCUUCGGGUUGUGAACCUCUUUCGCCAGUGAAGCAGGCCUGCCUCGUUUGUGGGUGGGUUGACGGUAGCUGGAUAAGAAGCGCCGGCUAACUACGUG
Molecule: ribosomal RNA, 494 nt
Filed under: uncultured bacterium
Lineage: Bacteria
Description: partial 16S ribosomal RNA
Rfam family: Bacterial small subunit ribosomal RNA
Source: RNAcentral